RNAcentral lists this ribosomal RNA (420 nucleotides) under Fusobacteriota bacterium. RNAcentral's name for it is "Fusobacteria bacterium partial 16S ribosomal RNA". It matches the Rfam family "Bacterial small subunit ribosomal RNA", at positions 355 to 776 of the family's 1533-position model. The record is from RNAcentral. Lineage: Bacteria; Fusobacteriati; Fusobacteriota.
UGGGGGAUAUUGCACAAUGGGCGAAAGCCUGAUGCAGCGACGCUGCGUGGGGGAUGAAGGCCUUCGGGUUGUAAACUUCUUUUGCUCUGAACAAGGCAUGCCUUUGGGGUGUGCUGAGCGUAGGGGGUGAUCAGCGCCGGCUAACUACGUGCCAGCAGCCCCGGUAAUACGUAGGGCGCGAGCGUUGUCCGGAAUUAUUGGGCGUAAAGGGCUUGUAGGUGGCUGGUUGCGUCUGUCGUGAAAGCUCAUGGCUUAACUGUGGGUUUGCGGUGGGUACGGGCUGGCUUGAGUGCAGUAGGGGAGGCUGGAAUUCCUGGUGUAGCGGUGGAAUGCGCAGAUAUCAGGGGAAAUACCGGUGGCGAAGGCGGGUCUCUGGGCUGUUACUGACGCUGAGGAGCGAAAGCGUGGGGAGCGAACAGG